Molecule: ribosomal RNA, 507 nt
Filed under: uncultured Glomus
Lineage: Eukaryota; Fungi; Glomeromycota; Glomeromycetes; Glomerales; Glomeraceae
Description: SSU rRNA
Rfam family: Eukaryotic small subunit ribosomal RNA
Source: RNAcentral
AGCAGCCGCGGUAAUUCCAGCUCCAAUAGCGUAUAUUAAAGUUGUUGCAGUUAAAAAGUUCGUAGUUGAAUUUCGGGAUCAAGGAAUCGGUCAUGCCUUGGUAUGUACUGGUUUUAUUGGUUCUCACCUUCUAAAGAACCAUAAUGUCAUUUAUUUGAUGUUAUGGGGAAUUAGGACUGUUACCUUGAAAAAAUUAGAGUGUUUAAAGCAAGCUUACGCUUGAAUACGUUAGCAUGGAAUAAUGAAAUAGGACGUUCGAUCCUAUUUUGUUGGUUUUAGGAUCAACGUAAUGAUUAAUAGGGAUAGUUGGGGGCAUUAGUAUUCAAUUGUCAGAGGUGAAAUUCUUGGAUUUAUUGAAGACUAACUACUGCGAAAGCAUUUGCCAAGGAUGUUUUCAUUAAUCAAGAACGAAAGUUAGGGGAUCGAAGACGAUCAGAUACCGUCGUAGUCUUAACCAUAAACUAUGCCGACUAGGGAUCGGAUGAUGUUAAUUUUUAAUGACUCAUU